This is a non-coding RNA of Paramuricea clavata, 1849 nucleotides long. Lineage: Eukaryota; Metazoa; Cnidaria; Anthozoa; Malacalcyonacea; Plexauridae. The record is from the annotation of a GenBank genome assembly.
CGCGUGUUGAAGAAUGUAGAGAAGCAAGGAAGAAAAAUGGAGGACAUUUUUUUAUCAAACACACCUUUAUUGGAAGGUAAUAUGCUUUAUUUAAUAUCAAUCCUUGUAGUAGAGUACUUAGAUUGCCAAUAUAGAUGGAAAUUUAGGACAUCGAGCCCGAACUUAAUGGGAUAUUUCGGCAUAAAGUUUGCUUUUGCUUUGCACGUGGUUCGCUUUAUGGGCGAUUGUCGAACUUUAAACCGUGUUUUAAUUCAUAACUAUUGUCGAUCAAGUGAGUAAAAAAGACUAAUUAAGAUGUAGAAUUGUUUAAGUUGUCGAAAAAAGUUAUCUCUGAGUUCUUACCCAAAAUUUUUAUAUUUAAAUAUUAAAAUUUUUAUAUCAAAAUGAAAAUCCAGAAAUUCUGGAUGUGUUUCUUGACGUGGCUGCAGGCUGGUGUAAAUUGUUAUAGUGAAAAGCUAGGAGAUGCGGUCAUAGAUCGGUGAGGCUCCUUGGUAAAGAGGACUAGUAUUAAAGAUUGGAAGCUAGUCAACUUGGGCCACUUGGCCCACUGACCAACUCGGCCCAUACCAUCUUGGCCCAAUUGUUAACUACUGUUUGACAUAUUGGGAAAGCUAUUAUUUUACAAAAGAUAGCACCAAACCAAUACAGCCAUUUGCUGUUGCAUUGGGCGUACAGAUGAGUAAAGUUUGAAACAUCCAGUUUGACUUUUAAUUAAAGAAUCUAUCGAAGUUUCAAAUUCUCAAUCUGUCCGUUUUGAUACUAAAUUACUGGUCAUUCAAGUAUAAAAAAAAUACCUGUGGUUCCGGUUUCAUAUCGCGAAAAAAGUAGGGUCGGUAGGUCGGAAAUAUAUUUUUUUGAAUAUUUUUUUCAUGGUUUUUUCAAUAUUAUUAGUGCAACAACAGACGCCAUUUAGGCGGCAGCCCGCAACCACCCAGAGAAAAUAGGGUCGCACGGUCAAUCGCGUUGAAAAAAUAAUAGGGUCGGCAGAGUUGGUCCUUGAACGGUGGGCCGAGUUGGUUAGUGGGCCUAGUUGACUGUAAAGCGUAAGAUUAGAGUUUGUAGGCUGAGGGUGGUUUGAAAAGAUGAUUGUUCUUUUGAGGCACAACUACUCCAGGCUCAAAAAUAUGCACUACAGUAGCAGUGUAAAGCCUUUUUUCGACAUGGGCUGGCAAGGAUUCAGAGAAUGCUAAAAAAUUAAAAAGAUGUCUGGAGUCGGAAUGAGUUUGAAAAAAUUCCAAUCAAAUUUUAACGUAAUCCAAUUAGCCUUUCUCAUGCCACCAUUUUUGGGUGGCAACCUUUUUCGAAAAAGGAUAGUAAGCAGUGAAAAUGAAGUUGUAAGUUUAAUCAUAUCUCGCUAGCCAAGCUAUUCACACCCUCACCUCAUCUUUUUGUAGAUGUUCAAUGCAAGUUCCAAGAAUGUUGCAAGACCUCAUCAUAAUGAAAAAUGUACACAUUCCAAGAUCCUGAAUAACAGGUAAAUGAUUUUUCCUCUAAUUAUUUCUAACCUCCUUGUAUUUCUUUGGACAAUUUUCUUUGUAAUAUAUUAAUUUGUUUCAUGUUCUCAAUUGCGAGUUUUUAAUUUUCUAGGUGUGUGUGUUGCAAUUUCAAAGAAUGUCUCAAGUUGUUGGCCGAAGAAGUGUUUAUGAUCACAAAAAUGAACAUUGUCAUUGGAAAGUAUAUAAAAGGUCUUAAUAUUUUCCUGUCUUAUCUUACAUGAAGUGUUUUGAAAAUUAUACGAUUGCUUGUGAUCAAUAGUUUAAAAAAAUCCCAGCAGAAUAUUGCAAAUCUAGCAUGACCAUGGUACUUAUGACACAAAAUACAACAAAAAUAAUAAACACAAUCUUUACGC